Molecule: ribosomal RNA, 465 nt
Filed under: uncultured Streptococcus sp.
Lineage: Bacteria; Bacillati; Bacillota; Bacilli; Lactobacillales; Streptococcaceae
Description: bacterial SSU rRNA
Rfam family: Bacterial small subunit ribosomal RNA
Source: RNAcentral
CCUACGGGUGGCAGCAGUAGGGAAUCUUCGGCAAUGGGGGGAACCCUGACCGAGCAACGCCGCGUGAGUGAAGAAGGUUUUCGGAUCGUAAAGCUCUGUUGUAAGAGAAGAACGGGUGUGAGAGUGGAAAGUUCACACUGUGACGGUAUCUUACCAGAAAGGGACGGCUAACUACGUGCCAGCAGCCGCGGUAAUACGUAGGUCCCGAGCGUUGUCCGGAUUUAUUGGGCGUAAAGCGAGCGCAGGCGGUUUGAUAAGUCUGAAGUUAAAGGCUGUGGCUCAACCAUAGUUCGCUUUGGAAACUGUUUAACUUGAGUGCAAGAGGGGAGAGUGGAAUUCCAUGUGUAGCGGUGAAAUGCGUAGAUAUAUGGAGGAACACCGGUGGCGAAAGCGGCUCUCUGGCUUGUAACUGACGCUGAGGCUCGAAAGCGUGGGGAGCAAACAGGAUUAGAUACCCUAGUAGUC